This 497-nucleotide ribosomal RNA is filed under the name uncultured bacterium. Its description in RNAcentral is "partial 16S ribosomal RNA". It matches the Rfam family "Bacterial small subunit ribosomal RNA", at positions 28 to 507 of the family's 1533-position model. The record is from RNAcentral.
GAUGAACGCUGGCGGCGUGCCUAAUACAUGCAAGUCUAGCGAACGGACGAGAAGCUUGCUUCUCUGAUGUUAGCGGCGGACGGGUGAGUAACACGUGGAUAACCUACCUAUAAGACUGGGAUAACUUCGGGAAACCGGAGCUAAUACCGGAUAAUAUUUUGAACCGCAUGGUUCAAAAGUGAAAGACGGUCUUGCUGUCACUUAUAGAUGGAUCCGCGCUGCAUUAGCUAGUUGGUAAGGUAACGGCUUACCAAGGCAACGAUGCAUAGCCGACCUGAGAGGGUGAUCGGCCACACUGGAACUGAGACACGGUCCAGACUCCUACGGGAGGCAGCAGUAGGGAAUCUUCCGCAAUGGGCGAAAGACUGACGGAGCAACGCCGCGUGAGUGAUGAAGGUCUUCGGAUCGUAAAACUCUGUUAUUAGGGAAGAACAUAUGUGUAAGUAACUGUGCACAUCUUGACGGUACCUAAUCAGAAAGCCACGGCUAACUACGUG